Molecule: ribosomal RNA, 495 nt
Filed under: uncultured bacterium
Lineage: Bacteria
Description: partial 16S ribosomal RNA
Rfam family: Bacterial small subunit ribosomal RNA
Source: RNAcentral
GACGAACGCUGGCGGCGUGCCUAAUACAUGCAAGUAGAACGCUGAAGGAGGAGCUUGCUCUUCUGGAUGAGUUGCGAACGGGUGAGUAACGCGUAGGUAACCUGCCUGGUAGCGGGGGAUAACUAUUGGAAACGAUAGCUAAUACCGCAUAACAGUAGAUGUUGCAUGACAUUUGCUUAAAAGGUGCAAUUGCAUCACUACCAGAUGGACCUGCGUUGUAUUAGCUAGUUGGUGGGGUAACGGCUCACCAAGGCGACGAUACAUAGCCGACCUGAGAGGGUGAUCGGCCACACUGGGACUGAGACACGGCCCAGACUCCUACGGGAGGCAGCAGUAGGGAAUCUUCGGCAAUGGACGGAAGUAUGACCGAGCAACGCCGCGUGAGUGAAGAAGGGUUUCGGAUCGUAAAGCUCUGUUGUAAGAGAAGAACGAGUGUGAGAGUGGAAAGUUCACACUGUGACGGUAUCUUACCAGAAAGGGACGGCUAACUACGUG